RNAcentral lists this ribosomal RNA (527 nucleotides) under uncultured bacterium. Its description in RNAcentral is "bacterial SSU rRNA". It matches the Rfam family "Bacterial small subunit ribosomal RNA", at positions 777 to 1301 of the family's 1533-position model. The record is from RNAcentral.
AAUAGAUACCCAGGUAGUCCACGCCGUAAACGAUGAGUGCUAAGUGUUAGAGGGCUUCCGCCCUUUAGUGCUGCAGCAAACGCAUUAAGCACUCCGCCUGGGGAGUACGGCCGCAAGGCUGAAACUCAAAGGAAUUGACGGGGGCCCGCACAAGCGGUGGAGCAUGUGGUUUAAUUCGAAGCAACGCGAAGAACCUUACCAGGUCUUGACAUCUCCUGACAACCCUAGAGAUAGGGCGUUCCCCUUCGGGGGACAGGAUGACAGGUGGUGCAUGGUUGUCGUCAGCUCGUGUCGUGAGAUGUUGGGUUAAGUCCCGCAACGAGCGCAACCCUUGAUCUUAGUUGCCAGCAUUCAGUUGGGCACUCUAAGGUGACUGCCGGUGACAAACCGGAGGAAGGUGGGGAUGACGUCAAAUCAUCAUGCCCCUUAUGACCUGGGCUACACACGUGCUACAAUGGAUGGUACAAAGGGCUGCAAGACCGCGAGGUUAAGCGAAUCCCAAUAAAACCAUUCUCAGUUCGGAUUGC